UUGCCCGAGAGCUUGGACCGC
This 21-nucleotide microRNA is filed under the name Sus scrofa (pig). Its description in RNAcentral is "ssc-miR-9860-5p". The record is from miRBase by way of RNAcentral. Lineage: Eukaryota; Metazoa; Chordata; Mammalia; Artiodactyla; Suidae.